AGAAAACGUCGCCGGAUAAUGCGAGGGUGAUUACCAGCAUACUUGAUAUGUGGAAGUCGCACCGGGGGUUUUCUUCUUU
Molecule: non-coding RNA, 79 nt
Filed under: unclassified sequences
Description: DUF3800-VII RNA
Rfam family: DUF3800-VII RNA
Source: Rfam by way of RNAcentral